This is a non-coding RNA of Chelonoidis abingdonii (Abingdon island giant tortoise), 85 nucleotides long. Lineage: Eukaryota; Metazoa; Chordata; Testudines; Testudinidae. The record is from RefSeq and is a predicted model, not a curated record.
GGGUUAGCCCAGCGUGGGGACACCCUAGCCCCUGCCCUAAGUAACCAUGAUAAGGUUGGGGGUCGAACCCCCCAGGAAUCCUGGG